CUUACUUUCACAUAUUUUCUCAACAUAAGACUGGGCUGAGUAUUUCAAGAAAAAAGUAAAUCCCCAAGAGAUGGCCUAUUACAGACUCAUGCUGACAAUGAAAUUCACUUAUGGUUCCCUAGGUUGUAUCUAUUGUUUCCUAAUGAAUAAAUACAAUGUGUUUUACUGUUCUUGUGACAGGGUUGUCAGGGGUGAUGAAAAGGACUUUAUUCAAAUAGCUUCUCAAUAAAUGGAAGGAGAUUCCCCUGAAGGCCUUUAAGGCGGGCCUGGAAACACAGCGCUAUUUGGCCAGGUAGGCAGUUGUGAUGCAUCUGCUCACUGACCCCAGAAAGCUAUUAAAAAAGGAGCAAAGGAGACCAAAACCCCAAGCUUCCCUUUGUAAACUCUGUUUAUGUAGGAGGAGAAAGUCUGUGCUAGAUUGAUUCCUGCUUGCGAUGAGGAGUGGAAGAUCCAAGGAGUAGCUGAAGUUGAGAGACCCCUUGUGGACAGUGGGCAGUGAGAAGAGGGCUUCCGAGUUGCCGUAACUUACAGAGGGUUGUCAGGUGUCUUUUUAUAUCAUUUAUUACACGUCAGUGUUUGAUGUUCAGUGUUCUAUGUUCUAUUUCUUUCCUGAUUUUAGGAACUCAGAGACACGGAGCAGUAACCAAAUGUCACACUCUGAGUGGGAGUAAAGCUGUCAUAUGGCACCUCUGACUCCCAGACAGGCUGCUGGUGAAAGAUUACGGACUCAUCCUUCAAUGAGUUCUAUAGCUUGGAGGAAACGGAGGAAAUGCCAGAUGGUUAGAGUUUAUGCACAGGAUACAUACCCUUGCCUUCACUGAAUUUUGCCUCAAGAGUCAUAGUAACCAGCUGGGGAUUUCAGCCAAGAAGCUAGAAGAGUAGAGGGAAAAUUAUUUUUCCUCCCCUACACAAUUAAAAUCUAAAAGGCACAGUGCUCACAGGAGAAGAGAUGAAGCACGAGCAUCAAAGGCACAGGCCCUGGGAAGCACAGUUAUCACAUGUUCACAUACAUAUUUUUUAAAUUUGCAAAAGGAAAAUACUGUAAGCAAAACCGGUUACUAUCACUGCCUCCUCAACUCCAACUUCUCCUAUAUCACAUUCCUGUCAUGUCAAGUGGCCUUAGACCAGCAAUUUUAGAGUCCAGCUGAGGGACAGUUGCAUGAGAGAUAUUUGUAGUUUCCAUUUAGUGGAUAUAAUUCUGGGCCUACAGUCAUAUCUGUGUGUAGAUGUGUUUUGAUUAGUCAUCUUGGUGUAGAAAUGGCUUCUGGGACUGUUCUCACCCUUGACCUGGCACUCACCUGGCAAACUGACAUGAAGGUGUGGGGCCAAAGGUCAUGCUGCAUAGUGAACAUAUUCCUAAAUGCUUAGCACUGGAAGUAAGUGAAUAAUAUAGUAGAGAUGAGGUUUGAAGCUCAGAUAACCAGAACUUACUUUUUGAAAAUUUAUAGCUCAUAUGUGAAAAAAACUUGAUCGAAAUAUUUCCAAAUUUGGAAACAGUCCUGAAAGUUUUCUUGGUGUUACAAAAUUUAUGCUGUGAAGCUUGAGAAAUUUUUUAUGCAAAGAAUAAUGAAAUUAUAUUUCAAUGAACAAUGUGACAGAAAACAUGACCACUUUUUCAGAGGGGAGAAGUUGGAAGCAGCUAGAAAGGGGUUAGAGUCAGGGGCUGUGAGCAGGGAAAACAGCAAGUUGAGAAGUUGUACUCACACCUUUUGCAGCAGGCAGGGCUGUAAUUUUAAAGUGAAAGGUUUCCAUGGCCACUGCUGGGCAAUUUGCAUUAGCAUUGUAUAUUGCUGGCAUUUUAAGUUAAAAUUACUGCCUUGGUUCAACUCGCACUGUACUUACUAAAAGAUUCUGCUACCUUACCAUUGAGAGCUACUAGUCCCCCAAAAUUGGCUUAGAUAUUUUGGUAGAACAAUUUUUACCUUUUCUUCUUCUUUUUCUUAAAUUUUCCACCACUUCUGCCUCAUGUAUGAGUUUUUCAGUCUUUCUCAGAAAGAAUACUCCAGCAGUGGGGAUAGUGUUCAUUUUCAAAAGGGUUUACGGUGUUCAAUGACAUAGAAGGUCACUUGCCAUGUUUAUGGCUGUCCCUGGGAACUCCCAUAAGGUCGGAGAAAUUGUAUCUACCUAUCAAGAGUCUUAUAAUUUCUAUAAAUAAAAUUAUGUAUCCAUCUUUAUGUAUUACUGCAUUACCCCAGAUAUGGCUGGCUGAAUACCUAGCCAAAUUGUUAGGAUACGUUUGGGAUGGCAUGCUUUAAAAUAUAAGUCAUGUGGGCAUAUAUAUAUUCUUUUCAGAGUACCAGCAUUCCUAUACAGUAGUAUGAAAUCUAUACACCUGUGUGUGUGUGUGUCUGUGUGUGUGUAUUUAGAGAACAGUGUGACACAUCAUUUUGAAAAGUCAAUGAGGUGAACUGAGAAAUAUACAUUCAACUUUUUUCCCCCCAAAUGAAGGACUACAUGUGUUUAUUAAUUUUCUAGUUGGUUGCUUUUAUUUUUUCCUGUGGAUAGAGAUAAGAAUAUAUAUCUAACAAAAGUGCAUCAUGAACUCAAAAAACCUUAGAUCCCUAUCAGCAAAAAUAUUUUUUAAGAAGAUACAUUUGAAAGAAUCUGAUAUUGGGGUGGAGAUAUGCGCUAUCAAGGGCAAAAGAGAUAGAGCAAAUUUUUGCAACCCAGAGAGAGAGGCUGUCAUUGUCCUUAGGAGAUAAAACCGAAGCCAAACAAGUGGGCUCUGGGACUGUGGACUGGAAGUGGUAUUUUCUAGCUUGUUUGGGUGAACGAUAGUCCAGAAAGAGCAAUGUCUGGUUAAUAAUAAGAAGAGACUCCUCAGUAGCAGUUUGCCAAACACCAGAACCAAAGAUGAUUUCCAACAUGAUUUAAUCCCUAUUUUGCUAAGAAAACAGUUAAGAAGGGUCACUGUAGCAAAUUCGCCAUUAAUUUAAACUCUGAUUUGGAAAAGGGAAGUGAAGUUACAAGCUGGACCAAUGGCAGGUCAGGUUUGAAUCAAUUAUUGCGCUCCCAGGAGAAAGGUUUUAUCUUUUAAAAUCCAAAUGUUAGAAAAAUGGCAUUCAAAUCUACACCAGUGUACGUUAAUAGAUUGUUAAAGAAAGAGAGUGAAUAUAUACCUCUGAAUUGUCACUAAUUUCCUCAAAGUAGGAAUUUAUAUUUUAAAUUUUUAAAAUUUUCUUCUUUCCUCCUCCUUUCUUCCUUUCUUUGUCUCUCUGACUCUCUGUUUAUGGAAAAUCACUGAUGGAGUUCAGGGCAGGCUACCCCAGAAUGUACCACUUUGGCAUGUGGAUUGUUUCAAGCUGAAGACAAUCAAGGCUCAACAGACUCAAGAACAGCUUUUACUUGUCUCUUAACUGCCUAAAAUAAUUUAGAUAAGGAGCCUGUACCAGGAAGAGAGCCAUUAGCGGAGAUAACUUCUUAUAUCAGAAAGACUUAUGCGCAUGACAUGGCAACCGUUUGUUUACCAAAUAUUUGCUCUUCCCAUCUUCCUGUGAAUCGUAUUCCUUCCCUUUGAAGCCUCAGACCCCUCUUCCCUUCUCCUUAACUCAGAAUGACUUAUAGGUUUCAAUUAUCUGACUGUCUGAGAGCCUGUCACAUCUUUGUGGGGCGCUUGUAUGUACAGAAUUAAAUUUGUUUUUCUCCUGUCAAUCUGUCUGAUGUCAAUUUAAUUACGAGGCAAGCCAAAGAACCUAGAAAGAAAGAUGGAAAAAGUUUUCCUCCUGUAUAUCACCAAAAAAAGAAGAAAAGCAGCUGCCUUCUCUCUCAUCAUCCAGUAGAGAACCAGGCCACUUCUCUUCACCACUGUCCUGAUUCUACGAGAAAUUCUCUGGUAUGGAGAAAACCAUCUGGGAAAACCUACUCACCACAGUAAAGGAAUGGAGGGCUCUCUUUGUAAUCUUGUAAUUCCAUUCACUAGAGAGUGAUGUUUUUAUGUUUGUGAAAUAGAUAGUGGUAUAUGUGUUUUUACUUCUAGAAAGUGAAAAAUAAAAUGAGUCAGCCUCUUAAAUGUCUCUCUUAUUAAUCCCUAUAUUUUUCUAUAAUCCAAAUAUUCAGAAAGACAUUUUCUGGUUUUACCCUGGAAAGUCCAGCAACCUGAAUGCAAAAUCUAUUAUAUGUGAAUCUCUGGCUCAAAAGUCUUCAUUGGUGUCCUGCUGUCUCCUAGAUUAAAUGUAAACUACUUAUCAUAGAAGCCAGAUGUGAAAACUGCACACAGAUUCAGAAAUCCACUAAUUCAGAAUGAAUGGGAUAAGGACAGAGAGAAACAAAUUUAAGAAGAUUCUAUCCUGAGUGUUCACCAGAAGUCAUUUACCUGGAUGUCCCCAAUUCCGCCAGACUGUUUGGCUCAUCUACUUUUUCAUUUCUUAAUACAAUUAUCUUCAAGGCUUUUUUGUUUAUAUGCUGGGGCACGGAACAAUGUUUCUAACAUAUCAGGAAAUUUUGGAGGGGUGUAUAUUUUCCUCUAAUUUCUCACUUCUGAUACAGUCUUGUUACAUGAUACUUGCUUUGAGUUUGGCUUCCUUUUUUUUUUAAACUGUUUUUGGAGAGGGUUUUAAUUUUUUUUUUUAAAGAUUGGCACCUGAGCUAACAACUGUUGCCAAUCUUCUUUUUUAUGUUUUUAUUCUUCUCCCCAAAGCCCCCCAGUACAUAGUUGUAUAUUCUGGCUGUAAGUGGCUCUGGCUGUGCUAUGCGGGAUGCUGCCUCAGCAUGGCUUGAUGAGCGGUGCCAUGUCCGUGCCCAGGAUCCGAACCGGCGAAACCCUGGGCUGCCGAAGCAGAGUGCGUGAACUUAACCACUUGGCCACGGGGCCGGCCCCUGAGUUUGGCUUCUUAAGCAUCUAUCUCUUGUCCAUUCGAAGUUUGUGUGCUAGGCAGAAGGUUAUAUGAAAAGUUUGAGUCAAUGAAAGAGGAAAUUAUUAUAUAUCAUAGCCUCCACCCAAACAAAAUUUAGUUUUAACAAUCCUUAUUUCUUAUGAGUCCCUCAGCCUUCUCUCCCUGUAGAGACACCGCGUCCAGUCCUGUAACUCGACCCCGUUCUCUGCUUCCCUUGACUCUUGAGCCUUUUCUGACUCAAAUCCAUAUCCGUGUCCAUUAAAGCAGGGUGACUACCUCUCUGUGCUGCUUAAGCUUUUGUCAAGACCAUUGCCUGGACAUAUCAUCUAAGGAAACUUUCAUUAGCUACCUGCUUCCAACUGAAUCCUUGAAAGUUAUGAUAGUACCAGAAAUUUCAAAUUCAGCCAAUGCUGUCCAUGUAUUUUUAAAUACAUCUUAGUCAAUUGGAAAGAAAAAU
This 5289-nucleotide long non-coding RNA is filed under the name Equus caballus (horse). RNAcentral's name for it is "lncRNA (ENSECAG00000057822.1)". Lineage: Eukaryota; Metazoa; Chordata; Mammalia; Perissodactyla; Equidae. The record is from RNAcentral.